UGUCCCUUAGCAAACAGCUCCCUGCGCCGGGCGGAGACAGGCUGGGCGCUGGGAGCCGGAGCCCAGGGCGGCAGCGCGUUGUGUAACCCGCCUGGGAAUCACGUUGCACGGGCGAGAUCCGCAGGCUUUCAGUGCAAUAAUAAGCUUGAUCUUUUUAUUCAAAUACAAGGAACAACCACCGCCGGCUCCAAGUCACGUGGCCGGGUCACAUGGUGCCGAGACACAGAAACCGGCUGGCAGUCAUUAACUAAUGCUUACUCCCAGGGAGAAAACGCAGGUUUUAAAGACACGAGCUCUGUUUUUGUAAACCACGCAGCACUGCAAGAGAAGAUUACAGAGUCACCGAGGGCUGGGACCCCUUCUUGGAUGUCUUUGAAUCUCUGCAUACCAGUCAGCAAAGUGCCAGCAAGAGGAAUCUAAUGAACGUGGGACAUGAAAGAGACUGGGCUGACCAAGACAGACAGGAAGCUCGGAAAAUUAUUUGAAAUGUCUAAAGUCAUCAGAAGGCUUAGAAAACGUAAUGCCAGUCCUUCCUGCAAAAGAAAUGUGCACAGCAGAAAACAAAACCCAGAGCAGAAAGCAGAGAGCAAGGGCAAGUUGGGACAGGAAAUGGAGAAGAAAUUGGGAAAGGUCGCGCAGAAUGAGGUCAAGUUCCGGGGGACGGAGGAGCAAAGCACGCAUGAUGUGUGAGCGCUAAUUAACGUGGUUAAAGAGAACAGCGUGGAACAGUAAAUGCCAGCAGAGCAAGGAGCCCAGCUGCAAGGCGGACCCAACGUGAAAAAGAAAAGCAAUCCUUGCGCCACACAACUCCUUUCAUAAACCAGCAAAUUCCCGUAAAUCUGUUCGCCUCCCGUUGUGGCUGUAUAGGUGAGGAGUAGGAUGGCCGAGUGGUGGACCUCCCAGCACGUAUUACCCCUAGAACGAGCUCCUGGCGCCCGCUUAGGCCGCAGCCUCUUCUGACAUCCUUUCCCUCCGCGCGUGGCUGUAGAUGCUCAUCCGGGAGCAGGAAAUGAUUGCAUGCUUGGGCUUUUCUGCAGUUCGUCUUCUAAAGAGAGAAACGAAACAAAGCAAAAAAGAAAGCUGGAUGUUUAGAGAUAUUCUAAAACCUUUUAAAGGCGUGCCGUUCACUGAAGCAAGGAAAGGAAGGUGGAGGCCGGCCUUUCAGAUUCCCUGGAGCGGGGAUAUGGAAGAAUUCAUCGCGGGCUAGUUUGUGUAUUCUGCACUUCAAAGUGACUUUACAGGUUUAUUUGGGGAUUCCACUCCAGCAGAGAAAGGAACACCUUGCCAACUCUCGACCGUACGAUCCAUUUUUUGAAGAGAGAACACCACUCUGGGAGCGCUUAAGAGAGCAGGCACGGGGGCCAAGGCCACGCACCAUCACUCACUGUCCAGAUCAAAUCGUGGCCUUUCCCCCCCCCCCCCUCCUGGAGAAUCAGCUGUUAAACAUUUACCAGCACGCUGCCGUGUACAAACGAGAUCCAAGAGGAACCAGUUGACCGUCUAGAGUGAACAAAGAGUUUAGCCCAAAACUGUGGGCAAGUAAGCAGAUAAGGUUAAUUGUAUUAUGGAUCCCUUCAUGAAUGACCGCCUGAUGGGAAUGCUGCCUUAACAUGACUCAGCAAUUCGUGCCCUUUGCCGUACAUUCUUGGAAGCAAUAGAAUUGCCUUUUAUUAUUAUUUUUUAUUAUUUUUGAGAGAGAGAGACAGAGACAGGGUGCAAGCAGGGGAGGGGCAGAGAGAGGGGGAGACACAGAAUCCGAAGCAGGCUCCAGGCUCCGAGGCUUGAACGCGGGGCUUGAACCCACGACCUGUGAGUGAGAUCGCGACCUGAGCCGAAGUCGGACGCUUAACCGACUGAGCCACGCAGGCGCCCCGCCUUUCAGUAUUUCUUUUUGUUUGUUUUUUUGCCCCCUACAAUGGAGGCCCCCAGUUCCAAAACUUCCAGUUUACAGAUUACACGUGUGUGAUGGGUAUGAAAGAGUCUGGUGUAAGAAGUCAGGGUGUUGCCGGCAGCUGGUGGCCGCAGGUAGAGCAGUGGAGUUCAGGGUUAGGGGGAGGUCGCAGAGGUGCGGGCUGGACUCUGGUGUGUUUAUCUCAAAGUUGGUCUAUCCCUCUCUUUUAAACCUUAUAACAAUCUUCCUUCAGUAAUCCUGGGUACCAGGAGUGCCGUUGAGGCCCGAGGGCGGGGCCUGUAUGUUGUUUGGGGAUCGAUCUCCGUACUCCAGAAGCUGCAAGCCUCAAGAUCCACCCUACCAGUCGACCAGCUUUUUCAGCCGAAAGACUAUGGCCCAUCUUCCCCAAGUCCUGUGUCUGUAGAGUCCGGCGAGGUACCACCUGUGGUGGCCAUUGGAUUAAUUUCAAAGAUACAACAUGGUGUAAUGGGACAAGACGGGAUGUGGAGUUCGGAGUCAGAAGACUGAGGUUCAACGAAAACUAAUCGCUGGGGUAGAAAUCAGAUAGUGGUCUAGGGUUGAGGGUUGAGUGGUUCUGGGAAAGGGCCGGAGGGGAUUUUCUAGGGGAUAGAAAUGUUCUAUACCCUUUGCGGGAGGUAGUUACAUAAGCAUAUACAUCUGCCCAAAUCCAGCAAAGACGCCGAUGAUCCGUGCAUUUUAUCCAAUGCAAAUUGUAUAGCAAUUGUCUCUCCUACUGUCCAGACAACUCCUUCGUCUCUAUGAGCCUUCGUUUCCUGUCUGAAAAAUGGAAGGACGACUUCUACCCGUGCCGUGGGUGAUCACACAUAUUAUUAAAUGGGACCACGUGAGUCCAACGUGCUUUGUACAUGAUAAAAAGCCCUGUGCACGGUGGCUACCAUUGUUCUGCUUUUCAUCUAGCUGCCUUCUAGAGCAGAUUGAGUUGGUACAAAUCUGUGGGCUCUGCCCUGCAACUUUCCCUUGGAGAUUAGUGUUUAUCUGUCUAUUUUAAGGAGACUCUGGAGGUAUCAAAAUGCUGCAGAAAAGCAAAUGGAAUAUGGAUUUGCUGGGGAGAGGAGGGCGGGCCGGAAAGGGAACAGCUGGGGAGCAAGCCAUCAAUCCAGCCGGGCAGCAGGGCCAGCCGGGUGCCGAGAGGGAGCCGCUUAAUGCCUGUGAGAGAGUCGUGACCAGGAAAAGCAACGUGAGUAAAAAAAAAAAAAAAAAAAAAAUCACAUCUUGCCAAACAAACUGGGUCACAUUCGUGAUGGAGUUAGUCACCGAGCAGAGACGGGAAAGCAUUUUCACAGGAAAAAGCAGAAGGUUGGGGGACCACGGUGACUCAGCUGAAGUGGCCAGGGCCACUUUGGCCUCCUGGCCCCGCUCGGUAGUUAAGCGAGAGUCCUUCUGUGGGUCCUGCAGUGCGUCUUGCGGUCUUUUGGGUUUGAACUUGAUCUUUACGCCUAGAGGCAAUCACAAACAACCUUUACAUUGGAAUCGAGAGCACAGCACACAUUUUAAAAUAGAAAAAAAAAAAAAAAUCAUAGCGAGAAGCCAAGUUAAACUAAGACCGGAAGAGCGGGGAGGCCGUGGCGGAGUUCACCCCCCGGAGCUCGAGUGGGAGGUAACAACUGGCCGAAUGCAGCCGAGCUCCUGAGUGAUUACACUGGCAAAGUCUUUGAAUUUAGCAACUUUGAAGUCAGAGCAAAGAGCAACUGUCCUUUGGCAGCAAAAACCUAUAAGAUGAUUGAACAACGCUGAAUUCAAAUUUAAAAUUGUUGGCCACUAAAAUAAAGCUAAAACAGGGAACGAUGUAGCAGGAAGAAAUAAUCUACAAGACAAAUCUGAUGUGUGAAAUUUUGAUUUUAUCCUCAUUAUAAAAAUUUUGGUGCUUUCUGCUAGAUGAUUUUGCCAAGAAAUGUGAUAUGUUGAAAAAGCAGAGGAAAUGUACCCUAGACGCCGAGGCUAUAAAAGGCUGUUUAAAGUGAUAGGAAUCAGUCGAGGCUCUCCCCGUGACCGAGGUUAUAAAAUUAGGAUCUUAAAACUACCAAAUCUGGGUGAGAGCAAAAGCUCCAGUUAAAAGCCAUGUCUCAAUUUAUUUUAAUAUAACUUCCAUUUUCCCACA
Molecule: long non-coding RNA, 4031 nt
Organism: Neofelis nebulosa (Clouded leopard)
Lineage: Eukaryota; Metazoa; Chordata; Mammalia; Carnivora; Felidae
Exons: 2
Source: RefSeq, a predicted model, not a curated record